Micropterus salmoides (largemouth bass) is the source of this 1461-nucleotide long non-coding RNA. RefSeq lists it as uncharacterized. NCBI's taxonomy places the organism in Eukaryota, Metazoa, Chordata, Actinopteri, Centrarchiformes, Centrarchidae. The record is from RefSeq and is a predicted model, not a curated record. The transcript has 3 exons.
AAGUUGAUCACUGUGUUUUGGCAUCUGUUUUUUUUCAUUUUCAGUGUGGCUGGGAAGUAUAGAGUCGCACUGCUCAGUGUCAGGCUUGUGUUUUGUUGUUUUUUUUGCCAUCCGAUGGCCUCUGGGAAGUGAGGAAUUUGAGCAAUUUGUUGGUUUUCACGAAUAAGGCAGGCUUUGAGCCACUUUGAAAGCUUGGAUUAAUUUUUUUUUUUUUUUUCUUGUAAGGGGGUGUAACUCCAACCAGGUCUUCAGGGCCACUCUAGCUCUUCCCUCCGAUUCUACCUCACACCACAGAGGCAGACAUGAUCAUCAGACUGGGCAGGCUGACACCCGGAUACUUCCGCCUCCUCCAGAGGCAAGUUGCCGGUGAGGUGCAGACGCAACCACAAGACCGUACCGUCAACCAGAUAGCCAUGAUGCUGGCCAUCAUGGGCCUGAGUUUGUCCUACUACAGUGCCAAACAGAUGACAGAGAAGGUCCAGGCCCCGCCUGCACCCUGAAGAAAGUUGACUACUCUGAUCAUGGAGAUAAUGGAUGAACCAAUGAGAAAUGAAGGAGGUGGAGCAAGAAGGCAGACGCAGGGCCGCACUUUUCUCACCACAGUCACACUAGACACUGGAUUUCUGUGAUCCCUCCCUCACCAUGCCCGGAGGUUUCAGGGCUGCUGCAAAGUGUUUACUAUACUUUCUGUUGUCUGGACCUUGAGUGUCUUGUGGGGAUCACUUACUUGGGGUCAUGGAUAGGAUUGGUUUUAUGAGCUGGUUUGGGUGGGCGAUCAAAACUAGCCGUCUGCCAACUGGGUCUUACCGUUAGUUGUUACAAAGGUACAUGCUUGCAAGAUGCUGUCAAUACUGUUCUGAGCUACUGGGGUGAGGAGCUCUAAACUGUGAAAUUUGCUAUUGCAGAAAAUAGUAUUAAAUAACAUGAACAGUAAUACCCCUUUUAAGGGAAUGCUGACUGCAAUUUGAGAUGUGCCUUGUAACAAAGUGAUGGCAGGCCCAAAACAUGGGGAUGAAAAGUUAGCUCAACCCUUUUCUGUAUUUGUCUUUUUUUCUCCUUCAUGAGAGAACCUUGCAGAGCCUUGUGAACAGAUCGGGAGCCGUAUUCACAAACUGUCAAUAUAUACACUUGUGAAAUGUAUCUGUCAGCCAUUCAGUGAAUAUUUGCACAAAAGAGCAGAGAUACUACAAAGGGACUUAAAACAAAAAAAAUAAUGGCUAUUUUCUGUGAUUUGACACUGUUUUAAUAUUAAUCAAUGUCCUGUAAUAAGAUGUGACUAACUUGAUAAGCAUCUUGGUUAAGAACCUUUCCUGCAGUAUCUACUACGUGUUAAUGCAAACAUUUCACCAAACAUUGCAUGAGUGUGCAGACUUUUAAUCAAAGCAAAAUCAUGUUUUUAUUGAUGAAUGUAUUUUUGUAAUGAUUUAAUAAAGCUGUGAAUAUUAAAUGAGAUAUACAGUG